RNAcentral lists this transfer RNA (71 nucleotides) under Loxodonta africana (African savanna elephant). It matches the Rfam family "tRNA". From Rfam's summary of the family: Transfer RNA (tRNA) molecules are approximately 80 nucleotides in length. Their secondary structure includes four short double-helical elements and three loops (D, anti-codon, and T loops). The record is from Rfam by way of RNAcentral. Lineage: Eukaryota; Metazoa; Chordata; Mammalia; Proboscidea; Elephantidae.
GCAGUGGUGGUUCAGCGGUAGAAUUCCCGCCUUCCGUGAGGGAGACCUGGGUUCGACUCUCAGCCAACGUA